This 473-nucleotide ribosomal RNA is filed under the name uncultured Alphaproteobacteria bacterium. Its description in RNAcentral is "bacterial SSU rRNA". It matches the Rfam family "Bacterial small subunit ribosomal RNA", at positions 8 to 525 of the family's 1533-position model. Lineage: Bacteria; Pseudomonadati; Pseudomonadota; Alphaproteobacteria. The record is from RNAcentral.
AGAGUUUGAUUCUGGCUCAGAACGAACGCUGGCGGCAUGCCUAACACAUGCAAGUCGAACGGGUGCCUUCGGGUACUAGUGGCGCACGGGUGCGUAACGCGUGGGAAUCUGCCCCUUGGUUCGGAAUAACAGCUAGAAAUGGCUGCUAAUACCGGAUGACGACGUAAGUCCAAAGAUUUAUCGCCGAGGGAUGAGCCCGCGUAAGAUUAGCUAGUUGGUGUGGUAAAGGCGCACCAAGGCGACGAUCUUUAGCUGGUCUGAGAGGAUGAUCAGCCACACUGGGACUGAGACACGGCCCAGACUCCUACGGGAGGCAGCAGUGGGGAAUAUUGGACAAUGGGCGCAAGCCUGAUCCAGCAAUGCCGCGUGAGUGAUGAAGGCCUUAGGGUUGUAAAGCUCUUUUACCCGGGAUGAUAAUGACAGUACCGGGAGAAUAAGCUCCGGCUAACUCCGUGCCAGCAGCCGCGGUAAUA